Neopsephotus bourkii (Bourke's parrot) is the source of this 534-nucleotide long non-coding RNA. RefSeq lists it as uncharacterized. Lineage: Eukaryota; Metazoa; Chordata; Aves; Psittaciformes; Psittacidae. The transcript is spliced from 2 exons. The record is from RefSeq and is a predicted model, not a curated record.
AAACGUGGCCAGGAUGGGGUGCGCUACCCAAUCACAGGGGGAGCCGCCGGCUGAUUGACGGCUGUCAGGCGCCAGCCGGCCAAUCGCGGUGUCCCUUUGUGCGAGGUGUGGGCGGGAUUACCUGCCUCAAGGGUUUUUUCAAUACCUACUUUGGUGCGAUCUCAGUCAGGCACUCCUGAUUGGCUCAGCGCGUCCGCCCUCGCUGCUGCAGCAGCAGCAGGAAGCGCUGUGCGGCUCUCCCCGGCGGCACCAGCACCAGCAGCAGCAGCGUUCGCGUCCCCGCUUCAGUCAGAGCCGAGACUGGCUGAGACAAUGCACGGUUUGUCCUCGGGACGAGGCUGACAAACGCCGCUGCUGGAGGCGGGAGGGGAAGAGGGGAGAGGCUGCGGCUCCGUGUUUGUUGCAGCGCUGGUGAAUUAAAUGAUACCAAAAUACUAUAUUCUAAACGUUAUGGGCAGUGAAGCUUAGGGGUUUUGUAAUCAGAUUACAGAAGCACCUGCUGAUGUUAAUUAAUUUACAGGAUGUUCGGUUUCA